RNAcentral lists this small RNA (29 nucleotides) under Bombyx mori (domestic silkworm). Its description in RNAcentral is "ovarian small RNA-37384". Lineage: Eukaryota; Metazoa; Arthropoda; Insecta; Lepidoptera; Bombycidae. The record is from RNAcentral.
UUCGAGGUGGUUGGGAAAUUGGUUUCCGC